AGUCGAGCGGGCGUAGCAAUACGUCAGCGGCAGACGGGUGAGUAACGCGUGGGAACGUACCUUUUGGUUCGGAACAACACAGGGAAACUUGUGCUAAUACCGAAUAAGCCCUUACGGGGAAAGAUUUAUCGCCGAAAGAUCGGCCCGCGUCUGAUUAGCUAGUUGGUGAGGUAACGGCUCACCAAGGCGACGAUCAGUAGCUGGUCUGAGAGGAUGAUCAGCCACAUUGGGACUGAGACACGGCCCAAACUCCUACGGGAGGCAGCAGUGGGGAAUAUUGGACAAUGGGCGCAAGCCUGAUCCAGCCAUGCCGCGUGAGUGAUGAAGGCCCUAGGGUUGUAAAGCUCUUUUGUGCAGGAAGAUAAUGACGGUACCGCAAGAAUAAGCCCCGGCUAACUUCGUGCCAGCAGCCGCGGUAAUACGAAGGGGGCUAGCGUUGCUCGGAAUCACUGGGCGUAAAGGGUGCGUAGGCGGGUCUUUAAGUCAGGGGUGAAAUCCUGGAGCUCAACUCCAGAACUGCCUUUGAUACUGAGGAUCUUGAGUUCGGGAGAGGUGAGUGGAACUGCGAGUGUAGAGGUGAAAUUCGUAGAUAUUCGCAAGAACACCAGUGGCGAAGGCGGCUCACUGGCCCGAUACUGACGCUGA
This 645-nucleotide ribosomal RNA is filed under the name uncultured Alphaproteobacteria bacterium. Its description in RNAcentral is "bacterial SSU rRNA". It matches the Rfam family "Bacterial small subunit ribosomal RNA", at positions 60 to 749 of the family's 1533-position model. Lineage: Bacteria; Pseudomonadati; Pseudomonadota; Alphaproteobacteria. The record is from RNAcentral.